RNAcentral lists this ribosomal RNA (96 nucleotides) under uncultured bacterium. Its description in RNAcentral is "partial 16S ribosomal RNA". It matches the Rfam family "Bacterial small subunit ribosomal RNA", at positions 260 to 353 of the family's 1533-position model. The record is from RNAcentral.
ACGGCCUACCAAAGCGACGAUCAGUAGCCGACCUGAGAGGGUGACCGGCCACAUUGGGACUGAGACACGGCCCAAACUCCUACGGGAGGCAGCAUG